GGGUUCCACGGCCGAGGGUGGAUUCGAACCAUGGUCUCCAAAGUUGUAACCCAAUGCUCAAACCACUACACCGCAUUGGCUACUUUUCUCUUGCAUUAUUUUCUUUGAUGACCCAACUUCCCAGUCUGGAUUGUAAAUCUGCUAAGUAUAAUCUUGUCAAGAAUCUGUGGGUUUGUAGUCAAUGUUUUCAAUAUAUCGUGAUAUUUUGGUGCUAAAAUCAUAAAUACAAUAAUUACAACAUAACAUUACUGUGUGUUGAACUACUUUUUCUAUCAAAUUUGUUGUAAAACAUGAUGUUUGGGUGCUUAAUUUGUAAAAUCAUAACCUAAUUUGAUGUUUAAUAGGCUUUUCCUUAAUCCCUCCUUAUUAUCCAAGAUAUUCGCUUAGCCAAGCUUCUGCUGGCCAUUUAGCUUGGAUAAGUGAGACUCUACUGUAUUUAUUUAUUUACUGUACUUAUACCACACCCUUCUCACCUCCCCCUUCCCCUGUAGGGGGACUCAGGGCGGUAUACAGAUUAUUUAUUUAUUUGCAGUACAGUAGAGUCUCACUUAUCCAACACUCACUUAUCCAACGUUCCGGAUUAUCCAACGCUUUUUUGUAGUCAAUGUUUUCAAUACAUCGUGAUAUUUUAGUGCCCAAGUUCAUAAAUACAGUAAUUUCUACAUAGCAUUACUGUGUAUUGAAUUACUUUUUCUGUCAAAUUUGUGGUAUAACAUGAUGUUUUGGUGCUUUAUUUGUAAAAGCAUACUCUAAUUUGAUGUUUAAUAGGCUUUUCCUUAAUCCCUCCUUAUUAUCCAACAUAUUCGCUUAUCCAACAUUCUGCCAGCCCGUUUAUGUUGGAUAAGUGAGACUCUACUGUAUUUAUAUUCCGCCCUUCUCACCCCGAAGGGGACUCAGGGCGGAUCACAUUACACAUAUAAGGCAAACAUUCAAUGCCUUGACAUAGAACAAAGACAGAAGACAAACGCAGGCUCCCAGCUGGCCUCGAACUCAUGACCUCUUGGUCAGAGUGAUUGGUCUCAGCUGGCUGCUCACCAGCUUGCGCCACAGCCCCAGCCUAUAAUUCAAUGCCAGAUUCAGACAAUAACAGUAACAGUGAAACACAAUAUUAUAAAACUAUAAACAUACACAUAUCAGUUAUAAAUAAUCUUUCAAAUGAUUUAAAAACAUAUCAACUUAUCAGAAGUCUA
RNAcentral lists this long non-coding RNA (1190 nucleotides) under Anolis carolinensis (green anole). RNAcentral's name for it is "lncRNA (ENSACAG00000042937.1)". Lineage: Eukaryota; Metazoa; Chordata; Lepidosauria; Squamata; Anolidae. The record is from RNAcentral.